Molecule: ribosomal RNA, 440 nt
Filed under: uncultured bacterium
Lineage: Bacteria
Description: partial 16S ribosomal RNA
Rfam family: Bacterial small subunit ribosomal RNA
Source: RNAcentral
CCUACGGGAGGCAGCAGUGGGGACUAUUGCACAAUGGGGGGAACCCUGAUGCAGCGACGCCGCGUGAGUGAAGAAGUAUUUCGGUAUAUAAAGCUCUAUCAGCAGGGAAGAAAAUGACGGUACCUGACUAAGAAGCACCGGCUAACUACGUCCCAGCAGCCGCGGUAAUACGUCGGGGGCAACCGUUAUCCGGAUUUACUGGGUGUAAAGGGAGCGUAGACGGUUAUGCAAGUCUGAAGUGAAAGCCCACGGCUCAACCAUGGGACUGCUUUGGAAACUGUAAGACUGGAGUGCAGGAGAGGUAAGCGGAAUUCCUAGUGUAGCGGUGAAAUGCGUAGAUAUUAGGAGGAACACCAGUGGCGAAGGCGGCUUACUGGACUGUAACUGACGUUGAGGCUCGAAGGCGUGGGGAGCAAACAGGAUUAGAUACCCCAGUAGUC